RNAcentral lists this ribosomal RNA (468 nucleotides) under uncultured bacterium. RNAcentral describes it as "bacterial SSU rRNA". It matches the Rfam family "Bacterial small subunit ribosomal RNA", at positions 28 to 507 of the family's 1533-position model. The record is from RNAcentral.
GGUGAACGCUGGCGGCGUGCUUGACACAUGCAAGUCGAACGGUAUGUGGCAACACAUAGAGUGGCGAACGGGUGAGUAACACGUGGGAACGUAUCUUUUGCAGGGGGAUAACUGACCGAAAGGACAGCUAAUACCGCAUAAGUCCGGGAGGAGAAAGGUGCAACAGCAUCGGCAGAAGAGCGGCCCGCGGUCCAUCAGCUAGUUGGUGAGGUAAGGGCUUACCAAGGCGACGACGGAUAGCCGGCGUGAGAGCGUGGCCGGCCACAAGGACACUGAGAUACGGGUCCUACUCCUACGGGAGGCAGCAGUGCGGAAUUUUAGAUAAUGGAGGGAACUCUGAUCUAGCGACGCCGCGUGCAGGAAGAAGGUCUUCGGAUUGUAAACUGCUGUGGUAAGGGAAAAUGCUAUGUAGAGUGGAAAGCUACAUAGAGGGAUGGACCUUACUAGAAAGCCCCGGCUAACUACGUG